Molecule: non-coding RNA, 29 nt
Filed under: Mus musculus (house mouse)
Lineage: Eukaryota; Metazoa; Chordata; Mammalia; Rodentia; Muridae
Source: RNAcentral
UCGGAGAAAAUGUUUCUGUUGGAGCUAGC